UGUCUUUUUCACUAGUACUCCUCCAGCUCUUAAGUGGAAGAGGAAUGAUGUGUUCAUCAGUUUUAGAGGUGCAGAAAUUCGCAAUACUUUUCUGAGCCAUCUCUACGAAGCUUUGCUUCGAAAAAAUUUAUCUGUCUUCAAGGAUGAAAAUCUUGAUAGAGGAAAAGAGAUCUCACCAUCCCUCCAGUUUUUUACCAAGUUGAUCCAAGCCAUGUUCAAGAUCUGACAGGGAGUUUCAAAGCAGCACUAGAUAAACAUAGAGAUGAAUUGAAGGACUGCGUAGAUAAGGUGGAGAAUUGGAGUCAUGCUUUAACCACAAUAAGCAAAAUAUCAGGGUGGGAUUCACAGAAUAUCAAGCCUGAGUCUGAACUUAUCAAAGGGAUUGUCGAUGACAUUUGCGAGAAAUUAAGAAAUAUCUCUUCAAAUGAUUAUCGCUAUAAUGGGUUAGUUGGAAUUGAUUCACAAGUCAACAAAGUUGAAUCAUUAUUAAAUAUUGGGUCAGAAGAUCAUGCGCAUGUAGUAGGAAUUUGUGGGAUGGGUGGUAAUGGUAAAACAACCAUUGCCAAAAUGAUAUUUGAUGGAAUUGGAUAUCAAUUUGAUGAAAAAUUCUUUAUCCCAAAUUUUAAGGGAGAAAGGGAAGAGCUUGUACCAAGUUACUUGCGAGAUGGAUUCCCUUACAUAAGCAUGGGCUCACUCUAUACACAACAUUCUUCUAUUAGGGGAAGGUUUUGGAAUAAAAAGGUUCUUAUUGUUCUUGAUAAUGUGGAUAGUUCACGGCAUGCAAAAAUUUUUCUUGGAGACUGUAGUUUGAAGAACACAGGAAGCAGAGUCAUUGUCACAAGUAGAGAUAGGCAAGUGCUUAAAAAUGUCUGUACCGAGGGAUGCAUAUAUGAGGUUGAGGAAUUAAAUUAUGGUGAAUCUCUUAACCUCUUCUGCUUGCAUGCCUUUAAACAAAAUUAUCCCAGUGAAGGAUAUAUGGAGCUAUCACAAAAGGCUAUAAAUGAUGCUAAAGGCAUUCCGUUAGCUCUUAUUGUAUUAGGCUCCAAUUUGUAUGGCAAGGGGACAGAAAUAUGGGAAAGUGAGUUGGCGAAACUAGAAGGCAUUCCUGACAAGGAAAUCCAAGGGGUUUUGAAGAUUAGUUAUGAUGGACUAGAUGAGCAUGAAAAGGAAAUAUUUCUUGAUGUUGCAUGUUUCUUUGAAGGGAUGAAUGAAGAAUUUGUCGAAAAUGUACUAAACGGUUGUGGUUUUGAAGCAAAAACUGGGAUUAGAAAUCUUUGUGAUAAGUCUCUCAUAACUAUGUUAAACUACGAAACGUUAGGUGUGCCCGAUUGGAUGCAGCAAAUGGGCAAGGUUUUAAAGAUGCAUAAUUUGAUACAGCAAAUGGGCAGGGAUGUUGUUUGUAGGGAAUGCAUUAAGAACCCUGAAAAACGUACCAGAUUGUGGAACACACAUGAUAUCUGUCGUGUAUUAACAAAAAAUAAGGGGACUGAAACAAUUGAAAGCAUAUCACUAGACAUGUUCGAAAUCGGAGCCCUACAGCUAAGUCCCAUAGCUUUUAAGAGAAUGCAUAAGCUUAGAUUGCUCAAUUUCCACUGUUCCAACAUAGACCUUCCUAAAGGCCUAAAAUUUCUUCCAGAUGAGCUAAGGUUUCUCUGUUGGAAUCAAUACCCUUUGAAAUCGUUGCCUCUAGGCUUUCAGCCAGAAAAUCUGGUAGCGCUAUACCUGUGUUAUAGCCAACUUGAACAUCUUUGGAAUGAAGAUAUGCCUCUGGCAAAUUUGAAAUUCCUUGUCCUCACUGAUUCGGUCAACCUAAUGAGAAUUCCAAACUUGUCCAAAGCCUCAAACCUUGAGGUUUUAGAUUUGGGAGGGUGUACAAAUUUGGUUGGGAUUUCCUUGUCGCUUCAACAUUUGAGCAACCUUACUGAACUAAGGCUAGAUAUGUGCAAAGGUCUUCAAAAUUCACCAAGCUGCAUUCAUAUGGAAAGACUUGAAUUUCUUUGUCUCGAACGCUGCUCAGAGAUCACAGAGUUUCCAAAGAUUCCGUCGAGUAUAAAACACCUGUGUUUAAGAGAAACUGCCAUACGAGAAGUGCCAUCAACAAUUAGGCAUUGCUCUCAGCUUCUUGUAUUGAUUCUGAAAUCGUGCAGAAGUCUUAAGAGUCUUCCAAGAAGCAUUGGUGAGUUGAAAUUUCUUGAAAAGCUUAAUCUUAGUGGGUGCUUAGAAUUGGCAAGUCUUCCAGAUAGCAUUGGCCUGUUGAAAUGCCUUAAAGAACUCAAUCUCAAAGAAUGCUUAAAAUUGGAGAGUCUUCCAAGCAGCAUUGGUGGGUUGGAAUGUCUUGAAAAAUUUAAUCUCAGUAAAUGCUCAAAACUGGAGAGUCUUCCUAGCGGCAUUGGUGGCUUGAAAUGUUUGACAAAUAUUAAACUUAAGGGAUGCUUAAACCUGGCUAGUCUUCCAAGCAACAUUGGGCAGUUGAACUCUCUUCAGUAUCUUAAACUUAAUGGAUGCUCAAAAUUGGAGAGUCUUCCGGACAGCAUUUGCAAUCUAAAAUCCUUUAUAUCCAUCAAAGUCAAAGAUUGUGUAAAUCUCAAUAAACUGCCAGAAAUGCUGUGGAAGUUAGGACGUCUAACAGAGCUUAAUGCAGCUGGAAGUGGGAUAAGAAAACUACCACUCUUCAUCAGAGGACUAGACAGUUCAGAUUGUGUUCAACAAAAAGGUCUGAUAUUGCCUCGGUUGAGAAUAUCUCCUGUAGAAGGUUUGUUCCAACUAGAAUUUGUUUCUCUAAAGGAUUGUGGCAUAUCAGACUUUCCCAAUUGUCUUGUCCACUGCAAGCAUUUGAAAGCGUUGGACUUGGGUGGAAAUAAUUUUGAGAGCAUACCAUCAGAGAUCAAACAACUUCGGUACCUGUACAAACUAGACGUAACAGAUUGCAAGAAACUUCAAUGUUUGCUAGUGGUUCCAUCUCUGCUAGACCUAAAAGCCAGUAAUUGCACAUCUCUGAAUUCAGUGUCAAAGAUAUUCACAGAAGGAAAUAGCCGGAGCAUAGUGGUAGAUCUUGGUAAUUGCAAAAAUUUAGAUCAGAAGGCUUGUAGCAAAAUUAUGGAUGAUGUAAUGCUGCAAUUUCUGUGUAUAGCACAAGAUGUACGCCUAAUGAAACAUGUGUUCCAUGCUUGCGAACUUUGGAGUCAUUGGCUCUCUGACUCGGUAAUAUUUGACAAAGAAACGCACGCCAUCAGAUGCCUGAUCUCUUCUACUCUCAAAACUUCUCUCUCUUUUAAUGCACAUGAACAAGAUCUGCGAGCAAUUAAAUUCCGGCAGGUAUCUCUCGUUCUCUUAGCUCUUUAUUGUCAAGCGUUCAUCAUGUAGAUAGCCAUAUAUAUAGCAAUUGUAUAAAAUCAAUUAUAUAUCUUAAUUUUCAUGGUGUAGACUAGCUUAGUCAUCCCCAGGAGUGAAGUGCCACAGUGGAUGAAGUAUGAUAACAGCGGUUCUUCAUUGUCAUUCAGAUUCAAGCCGUCUUGCUACUGUACUGACUUCGCUGGUUUUGUUUUCUGUGCUGUUUUUGCAUCCAACGUUUAUCCUUAUUGUGAUAUCAAAAGGAUUGGAUGCACAGCCCAAUUCAUUGCCAAUUCUGGAAGCAGUCGUAAUAUCCAUCUAAAUUUUGAUUUCGACAAUAAUGGCAAUGUUUUGCAAUUAGAACAUACAUUCCUUUGGGCUCGGUUGAUUUCUUCAUUGUCCGAUGACCCUUUCAAUAGGGCGGCAUUUCACUUCCGAGCGGAGGACCCUUUGAGUGAGCUCUCUUUUCAGUUCUUCGCAGAAGAUGACCAAGGCAUACGCGAUUGCAAGGUGAUAGUGAAGUGUGGAAUUCAUCCUAUAUUCCACAGUGAUUCAUUCGACCGAGACAAUGAGGAUGGGGAGGAAGAGGGUCAGCUUAUAAUUGCUCCCCUUCAAAAGAUACGAAAACAUCAAGAACUUGAGGAUGAUGAAGAGCAACUACUCCAUAAAAGAUCGAAAGAUUAAUGAAAACAAAAAUCAAGACAAUGUGGAUCAUGAGGACGGCGAGGAAGAGGAACCUUCAAAUUUGAUAGGGAGGCAAGAAUUAAAUUUCCUAAAUCUAAAUAUUUCUUUUCUCAUGUUUGAGUUUAUACUUAUAUAUUUGUUUGAAAGAGAGACAAGAGUGCUUGCCCUCCUAUGUAUUUUGAGUUUAGAACUUGUUUUCAUUGUCUACAGGGUAUGUCAUAAUUUUAUUUUUUUUUAAAGGCCAAACUGUUAAAAAGGUCAAAAUUUUACGUAAAUUAUCAAUUUUGG
RNAcentral lists this unclassified non-coding RNA (4302 nucleotides) under Hevea brasiliensis (rubber tree). Lineage: Eukaryota; Viridiplantae; Streptophyta; Magnoliopsida; Malpighiales; Euphorbiaceae. The record is from RNAcentral.